UACGUUUGGAAUAUGAAAAUGGGGUUAACAAAUGAAAGUGGGUUGACGAGAUUAAUUAGUACAAACAAAAUUAGGGUAUUGCAAGAAUUACUUUUGUGUCUCAACCGGAUUAAUUAUAAGAUAUUACCUAAACUUUGUAGAUCUAUGUAAAUUUACUUAAUUACAUUGUUAAUCAAUAGAUUGAUAAUCCAACUAAGUACUAACUAGAUAAUUAAAUUGUAGCGCCCGGACCGAGAAAAAAAAAAGCCACGUCGGACGCCACGUCAGCAGGCCCGGUCAGCAGUCCCGGCCAACCAGGGCCUGCCACGUGGCAAGACCACGUCGCUCCGGAACGGGCCACGUUGGCGAUCCGCGUGGGCGCGAUCGGACGGCCCAGAUCAAUCGCGUGAUCGGACGGCCCAGAUACAAUCGCACGGACGGCCCAGAUUCAAUCAAAAACGAACGGCCCAGAUUAAAACAAAAUGGACGGCUGAGAUCAAAAGGCUAGGGGUUAUAAAUAGAACCCCCACACCAGACCACAAACCCUAGCCUCCUGCCGCUCGUCGGAGAAGACGAACCAGAGGCCGACCGCCGCCAUCCGCCGCCGCACCGGGGAAAUUUCCGACCGCUGAUCGAGGUAAAUUUCAUACCCCGGACUCGUUUUUCCACGCUGAUUCCUCCUGUGGCCAAAUCGAAGCCAAAAUCCCGGCCAAACGGCCGGAAUACGCGGUCGAAGACCAGCGGCGCCGCCGCGCCCCCUCUCGAUUUUUGCCUCCGACGAGGCCCUUCCCGGCCUCCGUUUGAUGCAAUUUUUAUAUCACCGUGAUCACCAUUCUUUUCUCUACAGGUUGACCGGAGCCGAAUCACCAAACCACGAACCUCGCCGGAGAGCCGCCGCACCCGAGAGCGCUGCCGCCGGUAAGCUCCGCUUCUCCGUGAUUUUUUGGCCCCCCGAGGGCCCUAGGGUUGUUUUCUCGCAGGGACCGAUGCGAGUGUGGCCAAAUUCGGCCGAAAACGGCUGAAAACAGCCAACCCGAGGCGAAUCGCCGUCGCUUGCGGCGGCGCCGUCGCCGGAGCACGGCGGAGCCGCCGUGCCGGAGUUGCGAUAUUGGCCAAAAAGGGGCCCUG
This 1107-nucleotide long non-coding RNA is filed under the name Carica papaya (papaya). RNAcentral's name for it is "long non-coding RNA (CPAP_LNC002353)". Lineage: Eukaryota; Viridiplantae; Streptophyta; Magnoliopsida; Brassicales; Caricaceae. The record is from RNAcentral.